This is a long non-coding RNA of Electrophorus electricus (electric eel), 214 nucleotides long. RefSeq lists it as uncharacterized. The record is from RefSeq and is a predicted model, not a curated record. Lineage: Eukaryota; Metazoa; Chordata; Actinopteri; Gymnotiformes; Gymnotidae.
AAUCUCCAUUGCCGUCAUGCAAUGUGAGCAUGAUGCUGGGACAUGUGCACUGACAAAAUCUGAAUGAAAGCAAACAUUUCUCGGUGUUUACCUGGUAUCCAAAAAGAUGACUUGGCAGAGGAACUGGUGAAAUUGGACAAGAAGAAGGAUUUGGGGAAAAGUAAAUAAAAGAGCACGAAAACAGAAGAAGUCUUUCUGGAUCACUUGACUUGUA